Molecule: ribosomal RNA, 301 nt
Filed under: uncultured bacterium
Lineage: Bacteria
Description: partial 16S ribosomal RNA
Rfam family: Bacterial small subunit ribosomal RNA
Source: RNAcentral
CAGUCGCCGCGGGAAUACGUAGGUGGCAAGCGUUGUCCGGAAUUAUUGGGCGUAAAGGGCUCGCAGGCGGUUCGUUAAGACAGAUGUGAAAUCCCCGGGCUUAACCUGGGAACUGCAGUGGAUACUGGCUCGCUAGAGUGUGUCAGAGGAUGGUGGAAUUCCACGUGUAGCAGUGAAAUGCGUAGAGAUGUGGAGGAAUACCGAUGGCGAAGGCAGCCCCCUGGGCCAAUACUGACGCUCAUGCACGAAGGCGUGGGGAGCAAACAGGAUUAGAUACCCCCGUAGUCCCUGUCUCUUAUAC